Drosophila bipectinata is the source of this 1207-nucleotide non-coding RNA. Lineage: Eukaryota; Metazoa; Arthropoda; Insecta; Diptera; Drosophilidae. The record is from RefSeq and is a predicted model, not a curated record.
UAUAAACAUUUAACUAAAAUGUAUAUGAAUCAUUAUUACUCCUCUGGUGGGUUUUUUCCGAUAUGUUUUUAGAAAUUAUUAUUGAUUUAAUGAUCCUAACACCUGUGAUCUUGGUUAUUGUAAUUCUGUACACUUUACAGGCGGUUAUAGAUGUGGAACCUAUUAUCAAGACAGUUAUUGGUUGUCUGGCUGUACCAAUCUCCUGUAUUUUCCUGUUUGUAUUUCAAAUCAAAACUCUACCAGAACGUUGGAAUUCACUUAAAUGGUUUAUCAAAAUCAGAGAUACUUUGAUGCUUAUCUUUUACGUAGUAUUCCCCGCCACAUGGCUGAUUUUCCUUUGUUGCUUUUUCCAUGAGUUAGAUAUCAAUAAAGCGGCGCACAUAAUUUAAAGGACUUGGAGGACCUCCGAGGACUCUUGAGCCACAAUUCCAUUCAUCAUCAACAUGAUUAGCUGAAAAUUUGUGGAAGAUGCCUGUAAUGAAUGGAAACUCAUUGGAAAGUUUGCCUUUGGCAAGCUCCACUAAUAAGACACAUUGUCUAGCCAAAGAGACCGAAAGGUGAGCUACCAAAAAUAAGUACAAACGUCUCCUGUGACGGGAUGGGGCAUAUCCUUGGCAUGUUCUCUGUUGUUAUUGUUGUCAUAAGUUUGGCAACUUGUUCGCUUCCUUGGGCUAACCGAAGCACAUUACAACUAAUACACUCAGACGACGUACCCAAAAGUUUCCUUGCGUCUCACAAAGAGCAUAAUUACCAACAACAUGGAAAAAAAUCAGCAAAAUUGGGCGAGGAAGCCAGUUGAAAAAGGGGGAAAGUCUCCGGGAAAAGGGGAACUUUUCCACAAAAUUAUUUGUGGUUGCUAUAGAUAGAAAGAGAGAGAGAGAACGAACAAGCGAGAGGGGCAAAACUUUGACAUAAAGAAAAGUUUGUGCAAACCGACUUAAAGAAAAUUAUAAUUACACGCACAGUCAGCCAAAUAGUCCAAGUUUUGGUCCUGAUUUUGCAUCGAGUUUUCUUCUCAGGGGAAAAUACUUUAAUUGCCGUUAGUUUUCGAAGUUUUCAAUUCGCAAUUUGGCCGCCAGGACAAAUGGCAGACAAACAAGAACAGAAAAUUAUGGAAAAAUAUUCACAAAAAAAAUAAAUGCUGGGAGGUAGGUUGGGAAAACCAAAUUUACGUGAACCAUGAUAAUUGGAGAGUUUAAUUAGACCA